RNAcentral lists this ribosomal RNA (384 nucleotides) under uncultured bacterium. RNAcentral describes it as "partial 16S ribosomal RNA". It matches the Rfam family "Bacterial small subunit ribosomal RNA", at positions 338 to 737 of the family's 1533-position model. The record is from RNAcentral.
CCUACGGGAGGCAGCAGUGGGGAAUAUUGCACAAUGGGGGAAACCCUGAUGCAGCGACGCCGCGUGGGCGAAGAAGUAUUUCGGUAUGUAAAGUCCUAUCAGCAGGGAAGAAGAAAUGACGGUACCUGAGUAAGAACCACCGGCUAAAUACGGGCAAGCAGCCGCGGUAACACGUAGGGUACACGCGUUAUCCGGAUUUACUGGGUGUAAAGGGCGCGCAGGCGGGACGGCAAGCCUGAUGGGAAAGCCCGGGGCCCAACCGGGGGACUGCAUUGGGAACUACCGGGCUGGAGUGCCGGAGAGGUAGGGGGAAUGCCUAGUGUAGCGGUGAAAUGCGUAGAUAUUAGGAGGAACACCAGUGGGGAAGGCGGCCUACUGGACGGU